GGAUGUGUGGGCAUCUGCCUGGGACAUCUGUCAUCCCUCUGAUCACCAGGGUUGACUGUGGCUGACUAGGCAGGUGUCCCCUUCCCCUCCCACCACUCCAUGCACGUGCCCCCCUGUGCUUGGUGAGAAGACGACCGUCCUGGAGGGAGGAGGACCAUUUCCUCGGUCGAAGGCAAAUGAGUAGCUGUGCCUCCCCUGCUAGAACCUCCCAAAAAGCCCUCAAGAAUGAGAACUGCGGCUCCCGGAAACUCAGUACCUGAGGGGUGGGGGAGGUACGGACUGCAGGACAGUGUGCACGCGACAGCUGUGAGCUG
Molecule: unclassified non-coding RNA, 314 nt
Organism: Fukomys damarensis (Damara mole-rat)
Lineage: Eukaryota; Metazoa; Chordata; Mammalia; Rodentia; Bathyergidae
Gene: 7SK
Rfam family: 7SK RNA
About the family: 7SK was discovered as an abundant small nuclear RNA in the mid-70s but a possible function has only recently been suggested.
Source: Ensembl